AAAGCUAGCUUAAUUAAAGAUGCAUGAUAUUAACUGCCCAUCAAAGGGUCGUAGCAUACGAAGAUUAAACGUCUUCAGAUUUAGUUGCUGGGAUCGAAGAACUGAGAAAUUCAGAUCACCACGUAGAAAAGUUUGCUGGCAAUUUGCUACAAGAUGUUUGUUCGCCCCAGUCGCCUCAUGGUCCUUGCUAUUCUCACGGUCCUACUACUGGGCCUGGAAGCUAAGCCGUUGCAUGAAACCUUUGACGUCAGCGAGGAUUUCAACCUGAAUGAAGCGCCACGACACCUUAUGGAAGAAAAGCGCAGCAAAGGAUCCUCUGCCGCGGCAAUACUGCGACGAUUUCAGAAAGCUAAAAGAUGUAACAGAUUUCUGCCUCCGCAAUUUUGUUGAAAGAGACUGAUCACUUACACUUUUAUUGUUAGUCUCUGUAAAUCACCUCAUAAAGUAUCGCUUUAGUCUUAGAUAAUACAAAAGAUAACUAGCAACGAAAAGUAAUACUGUUAGGAAAAAACGCCUGAAACUAGUUGGGUAAAGUCACAGCGGAAAAUUAUUGCAAAAAUUUUAAUUUUUAAUAGGUGUUUCAAAAACUCGGGAAUCUCGAUGUCACAUUCAAUGCCCCAGCUAGGGACCAUGUUCUAUUAUAUUGCUGUAAUUAGAAUACAUAGGAAAGCCUAAUAAUCAAGAAAUAUAAAAGUUAAAUAACUAUCAUUCAUGAACCGCGAGAUUUAAAAGCUGAAUAAAAGAAUGAAUUGGGC
Long non-coding RNA from Orbicella faveolata, 755 nucleotides. RefSeq lists it as uncharacterized. Lineage: Eukaryota; Metazoa; Cnidaria; Anthozoa; Scleractinia; Merulinidae. The record is from RefSeq and is a predicted model, not a curated record.